This 90-nucleotide transfer RNA is filed under the name Acetobacteraceae bacterium. Its description in RNAcentral is "tRNA-Ser". It matches the Rfam family "tRNA". From Rfam's summary of the family: Transfer RNA (tRNA) molecules are approximately 80 nucleotides in length. Their secondary structure includes four short double-helical elements and three loops (D, anti-codon, and T loops). RNAcentral also lists the same sequence under 2 other names. Lineage: Bacteria; Pseudomonadati; Pseudomonadota; Alphaproteobacteria; Acetobacterales; Acetobacteraceae. The record is from RNAcentral.
GGAGAGAUGGCCGAGCGGCUUAAGGCGCACGCUUGGAAAGCGUGUGUACGUGAAAGCGUACCGUGGGUUCGAAUCCCACUCUCUCCGCCA